RNAcentral lists this ribosomal RNA (253 nucleotides) under uncultured bacterium. Its description in RNAcentral is "partial 16S ribosomal RNA". It matches the Rfam family "Bacterial small subunit ribosomal RNA", at positions 524 to 776 of the family's 1533-position model. The record is from RNAcentral.
GACGUAGGAGGCGAGCGUUAUCCGGAUUCACUGGGCGUAAAGCGCAUGUAGGCGGAUGUCUAAGUCGUGUGUUAAAGCCCCUGGCUCAACUGGGGGAGGUCAUGCGAGACUGGAUGACUUGAGGGCAACAGAGGCACGUGGAACUCCCGGUGUAGCGGUGGAAUGCGUAGAGAUCGGGAAGAACACCCGUGGCGAAGGCAACUCGCUGGAACGGUACUGACGCUGAGGCGCGAAAGCGUGGGGAGCGAACAGG